Molecule: ribosomal RNA, 265 nt
Filed under: uncultured archaeon
Lineage: Archaea
Description: partial 16S ribosomal RNA
Rfam family: Archaeal small subunit ribosomal RNA
Source: RNAcentral
AGUCACUGACAUUAGAUACCCCUGUAGUCCAGGGUGUAAACGCUGCAGACUUGGUGUUGGAAGCCCUUUGGGGGCAUUCAGUGCCGGAGAGAAGCUGUUAAGUCUGCUACUUGGGGAGUACGUCCGCAAGGAUGAAACUUAAAGGAAUUGGCGGGGGAGCACCGCAACGGGAGGAGCGUGCGGUUUAAUUGGAUUCAACACUGUAAAACUCACCAGGGAAGACUGUUACAUGAAGGCCGAGAUGAAGACUCUGCUAGAUUUUCAG